This 874-nucleotide ribosomal RNA is filed under the name uncultured Gammaproteobacteria bacterium. Its description in RNAcentral is "bacterial SSU rRNA". It matches the Rfam family "Bacterial small subunit ribosomal RNA", at positions 56 to 965 of the family's 1533-position model. The record is from RNAcentral. Lineage: Bacteria; Pseudomonadati; Pseudomonadota; Gammaproteobacteria.
UGCAGUCGAACGUGAAAGCACUUCGGUGUGAGUAGAGUGGCGGACGGGUGAGUAACGCGUGGGAAUCUGCCCAGUAGUGGGGGACAACUACCGGAAACGGUAGCUAAUACCGCAUACGCCCUAUGGGGGAAAGGCUUCGGCCGCUAUUGGAUGAGCCCGCGUCAGAUUAGCUAGUUGGUAGGGUAAAGGCCUACCAAGGCAACGAUCUGUAGCUGGUCUGAGAGGACGAACAGCCACACUGGGACUGAGACACGGCCCAGACUCCUACGGGAGGCAGCAGUGGGGAAUAUUGGACAAUGGGCGAAAGCCUGAUCCAGCAAUGCCGCGUGUGUGAAGAAGGCCUGCGGGUUGUAAAGCACUUUCAGUUGGGAAGAUGAUGACGUUACCAACAGAAGAAGCACCGGCUAAAUCCGUGCCAGCAGCCGCGGUAAUACGGAUGGUGCGAGCGUUAAUCGGAAUUACUGGGCGUAAAGCGCGCGUAGGCGGCUAAGUCAGUCAGAAGUGAAAGCCCCGGGCUCAACCUGGGAAUUGCUUUUGAUACUGCUUGGCUAGAGUUUGGUAGAGGAUAGUGGAAUUCCAGGUGUAGCGGUGAAAUGCGUAGAUAUCUGGAGGAACAUCAGUGGCGAAGGCGACUGUCUGGACCAAAACUGACGCUGAGGUGCGAAAGCGUGGGUAGCAAACAGGAUUAGAUACCCUGGUAGUCCACGCCGUAAACGAUGUCAACUAGCCGUCGGGUCUAUUUACAGACUUGGUGGCGCAGCUAACGCGAUAAGUUGACCGCCUGGGGAGUACGGCCGCAAGGUUAAAACUCAAAGGAAUUGACGGGGGCCCGCACAAGCGGUGGAGCAUGUGGUUUAAUUCGAUGCAACGCGAA